UACAGAGGUCUCAAGCGUUGUUCGGAUUCAUUGGGCGUAAAGGGUGCGUAGGCGGCGCGGUAAGUCGGGUGUGAAAUCUCGGAGCUUAACUCCGAAACUGCAUUCGAUACUGCCGUGCUUGAGGACUGGAGAGGAGACUGGAAUUUACGGUGUAGCGGUGAAAUGCGUAGAUAUCGUAAGGAAGACCAGUGGCGAAGGCGGCUCACUGGUCCAUAACUGACGCUGAGGCUCGAAAGCGUGGGGAGCGAACAGG
RNAcentral lists this ribosomal RNA (253 nucleotides) under uncultured bacterium. RNAcentral's name for it is "partial 16S ribosomal RNA". It matches the Rfam family "Bacterial small subunit ribosomal RNA", at positions 524 to 776 of the family's 1533-position model. The record is from RNAcentral.